CCUACGGGAGGCAGCAGUGGGGAAUAUUGGGCAAUGGGCGCAAGCCUGACCCAGCAACGCCGCGUGAAGGAAGAAGGCUUUCGGGUUGUAAACUUCUUUUCUCAGGGACGAAGCAAGUGACGGUACCUGAGGAAUAAGCCACGGGUAACUACGUGCCAGCAGCCGCGGCAAUACGUAGGCAGCAAGCGUUAUCCGGAUUUACUGGGUGUAAAGGGCGUGUAGGCGGGAAAGCAAGUCAGAUGUUAAAACCAUGGGCUCACACUGUGGCCUGCAUUUGAAACUGUUUUUCUUGAGUACUGGGGAGGCAGGCGGAAUUACUAGUGUAGCGGUGAAAUGCGUAGAUAUAAGGAAGAACACCGGUGGCGAAGGCGGUCUACUGGACAGCAACUGACGCUGAGGCGCGAGAGCGUGGGGAGCGAACAGGAUUAGAUACCCGAGUAGUC
RNAcentral lists this ribosomal RNA (443 nucleotides) under uncultured bacterium. RNAcentral's name for it is "partial 16S ribosomal RNA". It matches the Rfam family "Bacterial small subunit ribosomal RNA", at positions 338 to 795 of the family's 1533-position model. The record is from RNAcentral.